RNAcentral lists this ribosomal RNA (463 nucleotides) under uncultured Eubacteriales bacterium. Its description in RNAcentral is "bacterial SSU rRNA". It matches the Rfam family "Bacterial small subunit ribosomal RNA", at positions 28 to 508 of the family's 1533-position model. The record is from RNAcentral. Lineage: Bacteria; Bacillati; Bacillota; Clostridia; Eubacteriales.
GACGAACGCUGGCGGCGUGCUUAACACAUGCAAGUCGAGCGAUGAAGUCCCUUCGGGGACGGAUUAGCGGCGGACGGGUGAGUAACACGUGGGUAACCUGCCUCAUAGAGGGGAAUAGCCUUCCGAAAGGAAGAUUAAUACCGCAUAAGAUUGUAGUUUCGCAUGAAACAGCAAUUAAAGGAGCAAUCCGCUAUGAGAUGGACCCGCGUCGCAUUAGCUAGUUGGUGAGGUAACGGCUCACCAAGGCGACGAUGCGUAGCCGACCUGAGAGGGUGAUCGGCCACAUUGGGACUGAGACACGGCCCAGACGCCUACGGGAGGCAGCAGUGGGGAAUAUUGCACAAUGGGGGAAACCCUGAUGCAGCAACGCCGCGUGAGUGAUGACGGUCUUCGGAUUGUAAAGCUCUGUCUUCAGGGACGAUAAUGACGGUACCUGAGGAGGAAGCCACGGCUAACUACGUGC